CGCCAAAAAGCUAGCCCACCCCCCAAAAACAAAUCACCCAUUUUUCUAAACCCAAACACACCACCUUAACCAGAAGCUAAACCAUUUUUCCCCCUUAGUAUGGGAGACAGAAAAGGAACCUCCGUGAGCAAUAGAGAAAGUACCGCAAGGGAAAGCUGAAAGAGAAAUGAAAUAGCCCAGUGAAGCUUUAAAAAGCAGAGACUAACCCUCGUACCUUUUGCAUCAUGACUUAGCCAGCACCACUCAAGCAUAGAGAACUUUAGUUUGACCCCCCCGAAACUAGGUGAGCUACUCCAAGUCAGCCUAACAUUAGGGCCAACCCGUCUCUGUGGCAAAAGAGUGGGAAGAACUUCGAGUAGUGGUGACAGACCUAUCGAACCUAGUAAUAGCUGGUUGCCUGCUAAAUGAAUAAGAGUUCAGCCUCUUCGCUUCUUAGUUGAUUCACCGCCUUCUAUGGGCAGAUACAGUGAAUGUAAACCAUAGUGAGAAACCUAGAGAGUUAGUCAAAGGAGGAACAGCCCCUUUGAAAUAAGAUACAACUUUCUUCAGGUGGUUAAAGAUCAUACAGACCUAAAGUAAAAUGUUUUGGUGGGCUUAAGAGCAGCCACCCCCAUAGAAAGCGUUAAAGCUCAAACAUCUUCCUUACUACUUAUUCUGAUAACUUUAUCUUAUGCCCCUACAUUCAUCAGGCCGCCCUAUGCAUACAUAGGCGUGACCAUGCUAAAAUGAGUAAUUGGGGGGCCCCGGCCCCCUCCCUGCACACGUGUAAGUCGGAACGGACCUUCCACCGAACUCUAACGGACCCAAACAAAGAGGGAACUGAAUAUUAAACUAGAAAACUAGAAAAUCAUUCAACCACAACCGUUUGACCCUACACAGGCGUGCUCCACGGAAAGACUAAAAGAAAAAGAAGGAACUCGGCAAACACUUUUUAGCCCCGCCUGUUUACCAAAAACACCGCCUCUUGUACUUCACAAAUAAGAGGUUCCGCCUGCCCACGGACUAUAUGUUUAACGGCCGCGGUAUUCUAACCGUGCGAAGGUAGCGUAAUCACUUGUCCUUUAAAUGGAGACCUGUAUGAAUGGCUCAACGAGGGCUUAGCUGUCUCCUUUUUCAAGUCAAUGAAAUUGAUCUCCCCGUGCAGAAGCGGGGAUAAAACCAUAAGACGAGAAGACCCUGUAGAGCUUUAGGCGUUAAAGCAGCUCAUGUUAUUACGGCCCCCUAACAAAGGAUUGAACAAGUGAGACCUGUCUUGAUGUCUUCGGUUGGGGCGACCCCGAGGAAUAAAAAAACCCCCGGGUGGACUGGGGCAGUACACCCUAAAACCAAGAGCCACCCCUCUAAUCAUCAGAAAUCCUGACCAAAUUAGAUCCGGCAAGGCCGAUUAACGGACCAAGUUACCCCAGGGAUAACAGCGCAAUCCCCUUUUAGAGCCCGUAUCAACAAGGGGGCUUACGACCUCGAUGUUGGAUCAGGACAUCCUAGUGGUGCAACCGCUAUUGAGGGUUCGUUUGUUCAACGAUUAAAGUCCUACGUGAUCUGAGUUCAGACCGGAGCAAUCCAGGUCAGUUUCUAUCUAUGUAGUGGUUUUUUCCAGUACGAAAGGACCGGAAAAACGAGGCCCAUGCUCCAGGCACGCCUCCCCCUUCCUAUUGAAGGCAACUAAAAUAGGCAAAAGGGCACUUCCCCUAGCCCGAGAUCAGGGCAU
Molecule: ribosomal RNA, 1708 nt
Filed under: Uranoscopus cognatus
Lineage: Eukaryota; Metazoa; Chordata; Actinopteri; Uranoscopiformes; Uranoscopidae
Description: 16S ribosomal RNA
Rfam family: Bacterial large subunit ribosomal RNA
Source: RNAcentral